GAUGAAGAACGUAGCGAAAUGCGAUAAGUAGUGUGAAUUGCAGAAUUCAGUGAAUCAUCGAAUCUUUGAACGCACAUUGCGCCCCUUGGUAUUCCAUGGGGCAUGCCUGUUCGAGCAUCAUUUGUACCUUCAAGCUCUGCUUGGUGUUGGGUGUUUGUCUCGCCUCUGCGUGUAGACUCGCCUCAAAAUAAUUGGCAGCCGGCGUAUUGAUUUCGGAGCGCAGUACAUCUCGCGCUUUGCACUCAUAACGACGACGUCCAAAAGUACAUUUUUACACUCUUGACCUCGGAUCAGGUAGGGAUACCCGCUGAACUUAAGCAUAUCAAUAAGCGGAGGA
RNAcentral lists this unclassified non-coding RNA (337 nucleotides) under soil metagenome. RNAcentral describes it as "partial contains 5.8S ribosomal RNA, internal transcribed spacer 2, and large subunit ribosomal RNA". The stretch from base 1 to 120 matches the Rfam family "5.8S ribosomal RNA", at positions 35 to 154 of the family's 154-position model. The record is from RNAcentral.